Spinacia oleracea (spinach) is the source of this 3272-nucleotide long non-coding RNA. RefSeq lists it as uncharacterized. The record is from RefSeq and is a predicted model, not a curated record. NCBI's taxonomy places the organism in Eukaryota, Viridiplantae, Streptophyta, Magnoliopsida, Caryophyllales, Amaranthaceae. The transcript has 6 exons.
ACAUAUGCCAUCGAACACAAUAUUGGCCAUAUUUUCAUGAACUCCACAAUUAUGUCGAGCAGGCAAAACGAUGGAAUUCCCAAAUUACAAAAACCUUUCUACCAAACAAUAGCGGAGACUUCGGUCCUUCCAUAGUCAAACCAAUUAGUAAUAGUUACUCCUCAAGAUUAUAUAAGUUGGUAUUUUGUUAAUCAUGGUUCCAACAAUAGUAAUUAUAGAAUAAGAAAGAUAAUGGGGUUGAGUUAUUUGCGAGCACUUCUGCAAUUUCUCGAUAGACAAUUACUUCUAUGGGUGUCAAUCCAUAACCUUAUACUCCAUCUCCUUCUUCCCAGUUUUAAUGUCUCUGAUUUCUAUUUAAUUCCAUUUUUUGUUUAUUUUUUGGAGUUGGAUUUUGGUGAAAGUUUGUUUAUUUCUGACUUGUGUUGAUUUGUGCUUGUAGUGGGUCGCCUUUGGUUGGAUUGGGGUUGAUGGUUCUGCACGUUUCUCCUUUGUUUCUUCAUGGAUGCAGGUAUGGGAAUAGGUGUUGGUAUGGUUGAGGAAACCUCCGGCAUUGCAAGCAGAAUCUCAUUGAUCCCUUUCAUAACCGAUUGAACCCUAUCCUUCGUAUUACCCCAGAUUUUCUAGACUCAAUCGCAUCAGUCAGAAAACUCACCAUUGAAGGAGUUUGCGGAACCAUGUGAUUGUUAUCAACAGGUGGGGAGGAGCAGCAGUCGUUGUUCCCAAAGGUACUGUUUGGUUGGAGGUGAAGCUGGGUUUCUGGUUUCUCUCCUGGUGUUGAUUCGCGCUCGAGUUGGUUGGGCAGGAGGUUGAGGAGAUGAGCCUCCAUUAAAACCCCCUACUCCGAGCUGCUGAGUCUUUUUCUUUCUAGGCAUGGUGAGAAAAAUGUGCAGGUAGUACAAAAUUGAGCUACUUCAAAGAAAGUACUUCAGAGCAAGCUCAAUCUGCACGUGUUAUGCAAAUAUGUUACUGAAGAUGCUAAAUUUACUUUACUUCAUGGCAGGGAUGCUACUAAAUCCAGUAUAUCGCCAGCAACUGCAGGAAAUGCUGAAUUCUACCUCUUGCUGAAAUUUAAACAAGACAAACAUGUACUCCUAUGUUAUACACUUGGCCACUUGGAGCAUGUUUGGUAAAAAUUUAGGAAAGAAGUAGGGGGAAAGGGGUAAUGUUAACUAUUACUCCGUACUAUUAUAAGUUGUUUGAUAUACCUUGGGAAAGGAAUCACUUGUAGCAAAUAGAAUUGUUACCAUAGGGUUGGGAGAGGUAACAAAUGGUGGUGUGAGGUUGAAGAUGGCAGACUUUGAACUUCCGAUGUAUUUUUGUUGGAAUUUGUUUCCGUUUCCUAGUUGAACCAAACAAAAAGCUUAGAAUUUCCAUUCCUGGCUUACUCUCUCUUAAUUUCCCUUUCUUGAUUCCUCUCUUUUCAAACAAGAUUAUAUGAAGAAACAUUCAUAUACAUAGUAAAAGACUACAACCAUCCACCAUUAAUUAUAAUACACAUACACUGUCUCCUAAGUUUAUUUUUCUUACCUUCAGGAAAGAAAAAAAAUGAUAUACACAUACACUAAUACACUGAUUGAUUAUAUACAUGUACCAAUCAGUAUUAUUAUAUACCAACUCGCGAUAUUUUGAUUGGUAUAUAUACUGAUAUAUAGUUCUAUGAAGAUCUUGAAACAACAGGUCCAUAAGACCAACUACAGAACAUGUAAUACAACAUAUUGAAGGAGCAUAAUGUAGCUAGAAGCCAAUAAUAAUAGUCAUAGUGACCCCUGUUAAUGUCGCCUGAAACCCAGCUUUCCUGUCCUCCUCCCUUAGUAAUAUCAUUCAACAAGUUAAAUAUUAAACUUGCCAACAAGUUGGCUAUAGCCAUUCCUACCCCGAAGAGACAAGUUGCUAUACUUGACAUACUCUUGGGCAUUUCAGUGUAGAAGAACUCGUUCUGUCCGAUAGCAUUGAAUGAUUCAGCAAGGCCGCUGAAGAUGUAUUGGGGUACUAGCCAAAACGCAGACAUGAGAACUGCUGAUUGUCCGUUUGUAGUAACUACUGCUCGUUCCCUUCGUAUGUAUUCAACAAUUCCAGCAACCAACAUGGACAUGAAUGCACAGAAUAGUCCUAUCCCCAUCCUCAACUUCACAUCAAGGACAACAGGCUUCCCAUAGGCUCUUGAUGCUAGGGGAAGAAGUACGCGGUCAUAGAUAGGAAUCCAGACUACUAUGACGAUGGUUGAGAAGGUAAUAAACGAAGCUGCUGGAACUUCAAAGUUUGACCCUAGAUGCCUGUCCAUGGAUUCCGCUUGGAGCAAACCGAAUGAACUCUGGCUAGCAUGUAUGGACAUUAUGACUCCUGUGGACCAAAUUGGGAGGACUCUAAUCAGAGACUUUAGUUCUUCAACUUCCUCCACUGUGCAUAGUGUCCAUGGAUUUGUGGCCGAGCCAUCAGGACCGAUAUCUUGAUCAAGGUCUUGAAUGGUACAAGCCUUAUUCAAGAAUUUUAAUCUGUCACUAGGAAUUGUUAUUGUUGAAUCUUUCUCCAAAUAAUGGUAUUGAACAACACUUGAUUCUGAUGGAGUUGUUAUUUUUCUGUUUCUGAAAGCUGCGACAGCAACUCGUACAAGGCUGUUGAAGAGACUCUUUUUAACCGGAUUCAUGACGUAAUAAGGAAGAGCAAGGAAGAGGAAGAGGGUUGAUAAGAACAUGAGUAUUACUGGGAUUCCAAAACCAACUGCCCAACCCCAUUGUUCUUGGAUGUACACAAUCAGUGUCAUUGCAAGCACAACAGAGAAGCAACCACAAGCAUAGUACCAGUUGAAGAAUGUUUCCAGAAUUGUCUUGUUUUUGUUAUUAUCUCUUUUGUCCACUUGAUCAGCUCCAAAUGCCAGAGAGCAAGGCCUAACACCACCGGCACCGAUCGCUAUGAAAACAAAGGCGAACACUAGGAGGGCGUACAUUCCGUUUGUAGUUUUCGCUUCCCGGAUUAUUGUUGUCAUCCAAAGCAUAAGCAUCCCCUGUGGUAACAAAAUUUUAUACUAUUACUCCCCCGUCCCUGAAAGAUUGACUCAUUUGACUUUUUACUAAAGUAUUUUUUAUCCAUGUAAAAAAAAACCCAAAAGUCGAUAUGAAAUGGUACAGUCAGUUGUGUGUAAUUUUGUCCAUUUAAUAAACCUUCUGUAUCACCAUGUGAGGUAGGCCUUGCCUUUUGAUCACAUGUUCAUUAUGUAUGUACUGUAGUUCCAUUAUUUGGAUUUGAUAUGUAUCACCUAAUCUGAUCUUAUGUAA